UACGUAGGGGGCAAGCGUUGUCCGGAUUUAUUGGGCGUAAAGAGCGUGUAGGCGGCUAGGUAGGUCCGUUGUGAAAACUCGAGGCUCAACCUCGAGACGCCGGUGGAAACCAUCUAGCUAGAGUCCGGAAGAGGAGAGUGGAAUUCCUGGUGUAGCGGUGAAAUGCGCAGAUAUCAGGAAGAACACCCGUGGCGAAGGCGGCUCUCUGGGCAUUACCUGACGCUGAGGAGCGAAAGCAUGGGGAGCGAACAGG
This 253-nucleotide ribosomal RNA is filed under the name uncultured bacterium. Its description in RNAcentral is "partial 16S ribosomal RNA". It matches the Rfam family "Bacterial small subunit ribosomal RNA", at positions 524 to 776 of the family's 1533-position model. The record is from RNAcentral.